AUCUACCCAUGAUGAAGGUGUUCAAACUUUGCCACAGGGGUUCAAGGACAUUUUUAAGGGCUGUGGAAUAUAUUUUCAAAGAUUUGAAGAGGAAACCGAAUCAUAAAGAGGAUGCAACAUGUUUUUCUUCUAAAAGUUGAUAAAGCUCAAAUACACCAUUAAAUUCCUUUUACAUAAUUUAGGCUCCACACCCAACAUGGGGCUUGAACUCACAACCCUGAGAUCAAGGCUCACAUGCUCCACCGAUUGAGCCAGCCAUGUCCUCCUCUAGAAUUUUCUCAUCUUGCAAAACUAAAAAACUAAACUCCAUACCCACAGAAAAACAACUCUCCAUUUCUCUCUCUUCCAAGCCCGUGGCAACCACCAUUCUACUGUUCCCACAACUGUAACGGGAAGUUUGGAAUCAUGAUUGUGACUGAGGGUUACUCUAGUAUCUCCUAUAAGUGGAAUCAUACCAUAUUUGUCCUUUGGUGAUUUAUUUCACUUGGUAUAAUGUCCUCCAGGUUCAUCCAUGUUGUAGCAUGUGACAGGAUUUCCUUCUUUUUAAAAUGAAUAAAAAGAAGGUGUAUCGACACCACACUUUAUUCAUCUGUUGAUGGACAUUUGUGAUGCUUCCAUGUCUUUGAUAUUGUGAAUACUGCUGCAAUAAACAUGGGUGUGCAAAUAUUUCUUCAAAA
Molecule: long non-coding RNA, 677 nt
Organism: Canis lupus familiaris (dog)
Lineage: Eukaryota; Metazoa; Chordata; Mammalia; Carnivora; Canidae
Exons: 2
Source: RefSeq, a predicted model, not a curated record